Hucho hucho (huchen) is the source of this 62-nucleotide microRNA precursor. NCBI's taxonomy places the organism in Eukaryota, Metazoa, Chordata, Actinopteri, Salmoniformes, Salmonidae. The record is from Ensembl.
AAAAGUGCUGUUUGUGCAGGUAGCUGACUCACCCGCCCUACUGCAAAACCAGCACUUCCCGA